UACGUAGGAGGCGAGCGUUGUCCGGAGUUACUGGGCGUAAAGGGUGCGCAGGCGGCCUACCGCGUGGGGGGUGAAAUCGCCCGGCUUAACCGGGCGGGUGCUUUCCAGACGGGUAGGCUUGAGGGGCGGAGAGGGGCGCGGAAUUCCGGGUGGAGCGGUGAAAUGCGUAGAGAUCCGGAAGAACACCGACGGCGAAGGCAGCGCCCUGGACGCCAUCUGACGCUCGGGCACGAAAGCGCGGGGAGCGAACAGG
RNAcentral lists this ribosomal RNA (253 nucleotides) under uncultured bacterium. RNAcentral's name for it is "partial 16S ribosomal RNA". It matches the Rfam family "Bacterial small subunit ribosomal RNA", at positions 524 to 776 of the family's 1533-position model. The record is from RNAcentral.